This 316-nucleotide long non-coding RNA is filed under the name Malus domestica (apple). RNAcentral's name for it is "long non-coding RNA (MDOM_LNC019105)". The record is from RNAcentral. Lineage: Eukaryota; Viridiplantae; Streptophyta; Magnoliopsida; Rosales; Rosaceae.
CAUCACUUGGUUGGUGGUACGAAGGUGAGUUCCUUCAUCACCUUUCAUCACAUUUCAUCACCUAGUUGGUGGCACGAGGAUAAGUUCCUUCUUCCCCUGGUUGGUGGCAUGAAUGACAAGUUGCCAAAUGAUAUUAGAGUAUAGGUUGUACAUUUUAUCACCUAGUUGGUGGCAUGAGUGGCAAGUUGCCAAAUGAUAUUAGAGUACGAGUUGUACAUUUUAUCACCUGGUUGGUGGCAUGAAUGGCAAGUUGCCAAAUGAUAUUAGAGUACGGGUUAUACAUUUCAUCACCUGGUUGGUGGCAUGAAUGAGAGUA